This 423-nucleotide ribosomal RNA is filed under the name uncultured bacterium. RNAcentral's name for it is "bacterial SSU rRNA". It matches the Rfam family "Bacterial small subunit ribosomal RNA", at positions 207 to 622 of the family's 1533-position model. The record is from RNAcentral.
AAGACCUUGCGCUUUUGGAGCGGCCGAUGCCUGAUUAGCUUGUUGGUAAGGUAAAGGCUUACCAAGGCUUCGAUCAGUAGCUGGUCUGAGAGGACGGCCAGCCACACUGGGACUGAGACACGGCCCAGACUCCUACGGGAGGCAGCAGUGGGGAAUUUUGGACAAUGGGGGAAACCCUGAUCCAGCCAUGCCGCGUGAGUGAAGAAGGCCUUCGGGUUGUAAAGCUCUUUCAGCCGGAACGAAACGGUUACGGAUAAUACCCGUGACUACUGACGGUACCGGAAGAAGAAGCACCGGCUAACCACGUGCCAGCAGCCGCGGUAAUACGUAGGGUGCGAGCGUUAAUCGGAAUUACUGGGCGUAAAGCGUGCGCAGGUGGUUUUGUAAGUCAGAUGUGAAAGCCCCGGGCUCAACUUGGGAACU